RNAcentral lists this ribosomal RNA (275 nucleotides) under uncultured bacterium. RNAcentral describes it as "partial 16S ribosomal RNA". It matches the Rfam family "Bacterial small subunit ribosomal RNA", at positions 79 to 353 of the family's 1533-position model. The record is from RNAcentral.
CUAAGUUUGAUGGCGACCGGCGCACGGGUGAGUAACACGUAUCCAACCUGCCGAUGACUCGGGGAUAGCCUUUCGAAAGAAAGAUUAAUACCCGAUGGCAUAGUUCUUCCGCAUGGUAGAACUAUUAAAGAAUUUCGGUCAUCGAUGGGGAUGCGUUCCAUUAGGUCGUUGGCGGGGUAACGGCCCACCAAGCCUUCGAUGGAUAGGGGUUCUGAGAGGAAGGUCCCCCACAUUGGAACUGAGACACGGUCCAAACUCCUACGGGAGGCAGCAUG